This 1227-nucleotide unclassified non-coding RNA is filed under the name Leishmania donovani. Its description in RNAcentral is "gene:LdHU3.25.2120(CDS-product:hypothetical_prote in_conserved)". The record is from RNAcentral. Lineage: Eukaryota; Euglenozoa; Kinetoplastea; Trypanosomatida; Trypanosomatidae.
CUUCUCUUUUUUUAACGAACCCUCUCCAGAGGCACGUUUCUCUCUCCCCCUCAUCACCAUCGCCGACCGCCGCCAGCACUACACGCGUACACAUAAUGGUAUUUUUCUCCACCUACCGCAGCAAGCGCAUCGUUGCGCCGGGCUUUCUCAAGGGCCCCGUGAUGGCCUCGCGCGCCUUCUGUGACUACUACUUCCAGCGCGCGUGGAGCGGCUGCGUGCAGUGGGCGAUCCCGGGCGAGGUGCGCUUCUGGGCGUGCGGCGUUCCCGUCAUUUACUUCAUUCACCGCUACCACAAUGACCACUCGCUGGAGCCCGACUUUGUGGAGAAGGCCAUGAUUCAGCGCUGGGGUGGUUCGCUGGAGGAAGUGCGCAAGCUAUCGCCGCAGGAUCAGCUCCGCAUCCGUGUCUUUACGGACAUAGAGAAGCUGUACUCCGCCUACGGCCCCAAGGAAACCAUCAUCCAGCCGCCAGGUGACCUCCUGCCCGGAAAGGACUACUACCACAAGAGCGGUGCCGCUGGUGUCCACCACUAAGCACAAACUGAAGAAGCGGCAGUACAUACACAGGCGGCACCAAAAAUACCCAAGAGAGUGGGUGUAGCCGUGUUGUGUUGAGUCCAUCUACAUCCUCGUAUCCAUCGUCGCCCUCCCUCACCCUCUCCCACCGUUCACCUCGCCACGGUAUCGUGGUUGCUGGUGCUCCAUUAUCUUUGUUAGCGCAGCCCGCUGCGCAGCGGUGGCACAGAGAGAAGCAACAGACAGGCGCGCGCGUCGAUGGGUAUGUCAGUGGGUGGGAAAGUAUGGGGGAGGAGGGGCGCAGGUGCUGGAGAGGAGUGGAGCAGCGCCCCGACGAGUAUCCAGAUGAAGGUCCCUCGAGCAAGCAACACUGGAUGUGUGUACGUUUGUGCGCAUACUUCGUUGUCUUCUUCGGAUAGUAUGGUUAACAAAAUUACGUAGGAAGAUCAUCCUGAAGGACAUCAGCCGCAGCAGCAGCAUUGGCAAUGGCAGAAGAAGAACGAUGUGCCACAUGCCGUUGCGCUGAACCCUCUCAGCGCUGAUCUCUUGAUUGGACUGCAUGUGUGCGUGCGUGUGUGUGUGUGUGUGUGUGUGUGUGUGUGUGUGCCUGGCAUAACGUUUCUUAAUCCGUCAGCCGUAGGUGCAAGGCUGCGUGCCACACGUGUGCACGAGGAGCAACUUUUGCGCACACGGAAGCGCACGCACGUCGUGG